Molecule: unclassified non-coding RNA, 592 nt
Filed under: Hevea brasiliensis (rubber tree)
Lineage: Eukaryota; Viridiplantae; Streptophyta; Magnoliopsida; Malpighiales; Euphorbiaceae
Source: RNAcentral
AAGGAACAUUCUUAAUCAGCUUUAAUCAGGCAGAGAGCCAUGGUCAAUCAGAAUUGGUUGCUUAAAUCCUAGACGUUGCACAGCAAAGCUAUCUGUGAUGACGAUGCAAUCUUUGAAUAGUGAAGACUUAUAUUUCUUGAGCCCAGAGAGUUUGACUAGUGAACUGAAAAGGAACCAGGAGUAUGGUGUCCUACUUUCUCUGCGGGAAGGGGCAGAAACUACAGAUGUGAUCAGGGGCAUAUUGCAUGCAAGUUAUGUCCGCAAGGGUAUAGAAGCUUGUGGUAGUUCUAGUGCAGUUCUCAAGCAAUGGUUUAACCUGGUUGAAGAUGGCAAGAGGUUAACAGAACAAAACUUGAGUUUCUUGUAUGAGCAAAUGUUGUCUUUAGGGUGGGCAUGUAAGAAUAUUCUGUUGAGCACGCAGGAGCAAGCCCGCUAUAGUUUCAUAGCUGACUGAGCAUAUAUCUACUUUCUUCCAGUUAUGGUUGAUUCGCAAAGAUGAAAGUGAAUAAAGGGUCAAAGAAAACCAAGACUAGGAGAUUUUGUCUUUAUAUCCUUGUAUUUGUAUAUAAUCAAAAUUUUGGGUAUCAAAAAG